GCUCAGCGGGGAGGGUAUUGGAGACUGGCUAACUUGAAUACAAAAAAAGAGAGUGGACUUCCACGUGGAGCGGUGAAAUGCAUAGAAAUGUGGAGGAACACCAGUGGGCAACGCUACUCUCUGGUCUGUAACUGACGCUGAGGAACGAAAGCGUGGGGAGCGAACAGGAUUCCUGACCCUGGACGUCCACGCCGAAGACUAUGAGUGCUAAGUGUUUUACGGCUUUCGCCCUUUAGAGCUGCAAUUACCAUUACCCACUCCGACUGGGGAGCACGGCCGCAAGACUGAAACUCAAAGGAAUUGACGGGAGCCCGCACAAGAGGUGGAGCAUGUGGUUUAAUUCGAAGCAACUCAAAGAAUCUUGACAUCCUUUGACAUCCUAUGACUACCCUAUCUAUAGGGCUUCCCCUUCGGGGGCAGAGCGACGGGGGCUGCAUGGGUGUCGUCAGCUCGUGUUUAACAUGUUGGGAAAAGUCCCGCAACUAUUGCAUCCCUUUGAUCUUGUUGCCCUCAUUCGUGUGCGCACUCGAAAGCGACUGGAGGGGACAAACCACGACGAAUGAGCGGACCACUUCGAAUCGUCCUGCCCCUUAUCACCUGGGGCUACACAGAGGCUACAUAGGCACAAGAAAA
Molecule: ribosomal RNA, 633 nt
Filed under: uncultured bacterium
Lineage: Bacteria
Description: bacterial SSU rRNA
Rfam family: Bacterial small subunit ribosomal RNA
Source: RNAcentral